AUCAGCAAAGAUAGAAACACAGUUCCGGUUGGUAGUCCGGACGUAUUCAAUGUUUUGAAUAUCAGUAGCCCUCCCUCCUUGGGUCGUCCAUUCUUUGUGUAUGAUAC
RNAcentral lists this non-coding RNA (107 nucleotides) under Roseburia sp. RNAcentral describes it as "Azaaromatic sequence". It matches the Rfam family "azaaromatic riboswitch aptamer (yjdF RNA)". Lineage: Bacteria; Bacillati; Bacillota; Clostridia; Lachnospirales; Lachnospiraceae. The record is from RNAcentral.